GGUUAGGUUCUAAUGGUACAUAAAAAAUUUGAGGGAAUGAUCUUGCUUGAAUAGUCGUACUCAUAACCGCAGCAGGUCUCCAAGGUUAGAAGCCUCUAGUUGGCAGAAUAAUGUAGGUAAGGGAAGUCGGCAAAAUAGAUCUGUAACUUCGGGAAAAAGAUUGGCUCUAAAAGGCUGAGUAUAUGGGCUAUAUCAGUAAGUUAUUGGAGAUUAGGUUGUUACGGUUGGCUGUCAUGGUUGAUUGUGAUGGCUUAGUUGAAGGUGAUGGAUGGGUGUAGGCAACUGUCAAAGGUUGUACUGUAUACAAUUAACAGCUAAUUUAGAACUGUUACUGACCAGGGGAAUCCGACUGUUUAAUUAAAACAAAGACAUUGUGAUGUUCUCAAUAAGGAUUUUAACACAAUGUGAUUUCUGCCCAGUGCUCUGAAUGUCAAAGUGAAGAAAUUCAAAACAAAGCGAC
This 460-nucleotide ribosomal RNA is filed under the name uncultured eukaryote. Its description in RNAcentral is "eukaryotic LSU rRNA". It matches the Rfam family "Eukaryotic large subunit ribosomal RNA", at positions 1786 to 2243 of the family's 3401-position model. The record is from RNAcentral.